GAUGAACGCUGGCGGCGUGCCUAAUACAUGCAAGUAGAACGCUGAAGGAGGAGCUUGCUCUUCUGGAUGAGUUGCGAACGGGUGAGUAACGCGUAGGUAACCUGCCUGGUAGCGGGGGAUAACUAUUGGAAACGAUAGCUAAUACCGCAUGACAACAGUUAUUGCAUGAUAACUGUUUAAAAGGGGCAACUGCUCCACUACCAGAUGGACCUGCGUUGUAUUAGCUAGUUGGUGAGGUAACGGCUCACCAAGGCGACGAUACAUAGCCGACCUGAGAGGGUGAUCGGCCACACUGGGACUGAGACACGGCCCAGAGUCCUACGGGAGGCAGCCGGAGGGAAUCUUCGGCAAUGGACGGAAGUCUGACCGAGCAACGCCGCGGGAGUGAAGAAGGUUUUCGGAUCGUAAAGCUCGGUUGUAAGAGAAGAACGAGUGUGAGAGUGGAAAGUUCACACUGUGACGGUAUCUGACCAGAAAGGGACGGCUAACUACGUG
RNAcentral lists this ribosomal RNA (495 nucleotides) under uncultured bacterium. RNAcentral describes it as "partial 16S ribosomal RNA". It matches the Rfam family "Bacterial small subunit ribosomal RNA", at positions 28 to 507 of the family's 1533-position model. The record is from RNAcentral.